This is a long non-coding RNA of Asterias rubens (European starfish), 902 nucleotides long. RefSeq lists it as uncharacterized. NCBI's taxonomy places the organism in Eukaryota, Metazoa, Echinodermata, Asteroidea, Forcipulatida, Asteriidae. The record is from RefSeq and is a predicted model, not a curated record. The transcript is spliced from 4 exons.
GCCAAACCAUUCUCCUGGAAAGUAACACAGACUCAGACGGUGACGAGAACAAAAAAGUCUUAGAGAUGAAAAAACAAGAGUCGGAGAGAAAAAAGCGAGAAGCAGAUGAGAGGUUGCGGCUUGAGGAAGAAGAAUUGAAAAAGGAAUCCUUGAGAAGAUGACACUCUGAGAUGUGCAGGAAGAUGUGUGGGGAGGCAGCCCACCUGCAAGGCCUCCCCUGAAAUGGCUGCUGAAGAGACACGAGUACAUAAAGUGCCAUAGAAGCUUUACUGAAAUUAGUGAAAUAUGCCAUCAUCCUGCAAUACACACAUGGUCUAAAAGAGAAAUGACAAGACAAGCACAUAAGAAAAUGAGAUGAUGGAAAACCUCUUUAGUUGUUUGUGUUCUGCUCAGAUGUUGCCUAGCGACAAGGGAUGCUCAGUACUUUGAUAACAUCUUCUCCACAUUGGGAGAGAUUGAAAGAGAACAGGUGAUGAGGAGGGUGACUCCAGGAAUGCGGCCCCAUUACAAUGUGAGCAUGAGGCGACCACGGACACAUGUUUAUGCCAGACUGCAACACUGUACUAAUGAAACUCAAUGCAUGCAUCAAGGACAUUCACCAAAGAGCCACUGCAAACAAGAUGAUGCUUAAUGCUGCAAAGCAUUGGUUCUUCAUUUUACAUCAAGAUUUUCACAACAGCCACUUCCAGUCAUUUCCAUCACGGUUGGUGAUGUGAAACCACUCAACGAAAGCCAGAAAUCUCUGUGCAGUCAUGGAUGAACAUCUACAUGUAUCACCGAAGGCCCAUGUCUCUACCCUAUAUGCCGCUCUUAAAUUACUGUCAUCCAAAGAUGUUUUAAAUUUAGAAAAUAAUGAUCCACACAAAUACACCUGGAAAUUGUUUAGUUUUCCUUGGCCGUCU